CCCUCCCUGGUUCUUCAUCAAAGGGUUCUGUGGGUGUAUUCCCAUCCUCCUAAUACACCACAGCUGGGAGAUCACAUAGAGCCACACUGGGAAAUUCUGGCCGCCUGAGCAAAGAAGAGGGGAAGGGCUGUGGCUUGGCCUCUGGGAUGCAGGGGGAACACCUUCAAGUUCUUAUGUGGUAUCACUUCUAUGUGGACUCUAAUAAAAAUGAUACAAAAGAACUUAUUUGAAAAAAACAGGAACAAACUUACAAAUUUUAGAACCAAUCUUAUGGUCAGCAUAGGUGAAAUUGUUGGGGAGAGGGAAGAAUUAGAAGGGUGGGAAUAACACACAAACACUACCUUAUAAAAUAGAUGAUUAAUGAGAACUGACUAGAUUGCACGGAAAAUCUACUCAAUAGUUCAUUAUAACCUACGUGGGAAAAAAAGAAUGGAUAUAUUUGUAUGUAUGCCUGAUUCACUUUGCUGUACACCUGCAACUAAUACAAUGUGGUAGGUGAAUGAUAGUUCAAUAAAAUUAAAUUUAAAAAAAGUUAUCACAUGGACUCAAUACAAGGACAGGGCUCUGGUUUGAUUGUGCCCUUAACGCGUUCAGAGCAUACCUACAGGGUGACGGCAGAUAUUUACCAGCCUUGCUAGCUAAGCUCUGGCAGAGAUUCAUGGAGGGGGGGGGGCAAAAAGAAAGAAGGGAGAAAUUUGGUCCACUGUACCCCACGAUGUUUUAUUCUUGUUCUGCCGUGUGGUCAGUGUAGGUCUCUAGGCCAGAUGCUAUUUUCAGGAAGCCUCAUUAAACUGUCAAAAAAAAAAAAAAAAAAAAAAAAAAAAACACCUCCCAAGAGGAAUAACCAGCAUUUCAGUAAACAACAUCUCGCAGUAGUUUUAUUUAUUUCUUUCCUUCUAUUAAAAAAUUCAGGUGAACCCAUAUUUGGAAAAUUUUCUUCUUGCUACAACCCCCAGUUAGUGGUAAUUCCAUGAUAUUAACUAACAGGUAAGAGAUACUAUUUUGAGUUCAACGUAGGUGCUAUCCUUUAGUACACAUUGUUUUAGGCCUGAUUUGAACAUUUUGAUAUUUAGAAUCAGGUGAGGAGAUAAUUUAAAUUCAGCUUCAUUAUUUGGCAUUAUUAAAGGUACAGAGAAUAGAGGUUUUGUGGUUUUUUUAUUUUCAUUUUAUUUUGAUAUAAGAAGGGAAAGAUUGAAUAAACAGAAAUUUACAGAAAAUUUAGAUGAAGGAGUAUAAAGAUGAAUUUGUGUAAAUAAUGAUAACACUGCAUGUAGAUGUAAAAUGUAGAAUAAAUCAGCAACAUGAACAUCUUUUACAUUGGAUGGAGCUUUUGGGAGACACUUAAUGAUUUUCUUGGAUUCUCUGUGAGAAGAUUUUGGUAAGUGCUAAAAAAGAAUUUCGUCCAAAUGGCCCUGAGAUGCUUGAGGGGCUCUAAGAUGAUUUAUUUAUUUAAGAUUUAGGUUAUGUUACAGCUAAUUAUGAACUGGACCAUUUCAGUAUCAUGAGUUUAAUUCAUUUAGAUGAUUAUCUGGUGGGAGAAACAAAUAGAAAGCUGGGAAAUGCUAGGAAAUAAUUGGUUUAAUUUUUUUCUACUUUUCAACAAGUUGAGGUUUUGUUUCUAUGUGACCUUGAUUUCUCUGGAGACCGAAUUAAAAACAUAUGGGAAAAUUCAUCCAGAGAAGCAACACAAACCAAUACUGUGAGAAGAAAUCACAACAUUAGUGAACACAGGAAAGGCAAGGGGUGUCGGGGACUCAAGAACUUGGAUAAAGUAAUUAAAUCUGACUCUAUGUUCUGCUGGAAAGUUCUUCUGCAGGACUCAGUAAAAUUAUAAAAGCAAUACUAGCGGAAAGGACAGUAGAAAAGUAGAUUUAAAAUAGUAAUGCAUAGAGAAUACAGUUAAUUAACUUUCUACAAUGCAUAUAUUUCUCCUUGAUGAGUCGACUAUAUAGGUUUUUUUUUUUUUUAAGUUUAUAUACUAUAGAUGUUGUUUUUUUUUCCCCCCCUUUUUCCACAGAAGGUUUAAUUAGGCUUUAAGCCACAGAAUCCGUUUUGUAAACCUUUCAAAUAAUAAUCAAGGAGUAGAAAGCUGGGAAAUAAGCAAGUUAGUGUGCCAUUUGUUUGAAUUUGCAGAAAGCAAAUGCUUCAAACUCAUGGUCCUGCAUUUUAAACUGCCUACUAAGUAGUGAUGGCUAGGAGGCAUUUAUAUGAUCUGAUCAACGCAAGUGCUUAGUUCCCCUGUGACAAAGUGAUCGAUUAUGCCAGCACCUCUACCUGGUCCCAGCCUCCAUUCCCAGUGGUCCUUGUCUGUUAGGUUCUUCGGCUCUGCGCUAUGUGUGUUCUCAUUAGUUUCCACAACAGUUUGAGAAGAGAAGUAUCAUUAUUAUUCCAAUUUUACAGACAAGGAGAUGGAUGCUCAGGGUGACUGAAAUCAUAUCCAGGAAGUGGAGAGCUGGGUUUUAAAUCUGUGAAGUCUAUUCCAGACUUCACAUUCUAAACCUCAGGCCUUCAUGGUGCAUGCAGCUCCAGACGGAUGUGGGGUUCAAAUGCAGUCUGGUGCUUUGGAGCACAGCAGAUGUUAAUGGCCUGCCAGGGGACCAAACGCAGGACCUUGGCAGGAUUGGCAUGGGGUUAACAAACUAUAACUCCAUAGCAGAAGCAUUUUAUCCUAAAUCCUCUCUUAUGAUUUUUUUUCUUUCAGGACAAGCUAUGAAAAUCCAGAGGAAAAGUCCAUUAAAAUAUACACACGCCUGUCAAUCCUUUUUCUAGAUCAUUCUAAAAACUUCAGUUAAGGUAUAUAUACACAAGUUGGCGAGUGGUAUACUUGAGUUUGUAUGCAUGCAGGAAUGCAUGUGAAUACACCCAAAGACAAACAACCCUGGAAAUAAAAUGUGAACCUCAUCAUGAUGUGUGUUGAUGCAUGCACAUCUAUUUAUGUUUUCACAUAAUUAAUCUCUGUGAGUGUGCGGUGUGUGUAGGUAUGUGUGUAAUGACCAAAGUCUCACUAAUCUUGCAUCCCAGCCAUCCUCCUGGGCUUCCUAAUUACCACUAUCAUCAUGGAAAAGAAUGACAGAAAGACUGGAGACCUUGGGAUGAGAAAUUCACUUUUACACCUUUAAAAUAAAAGCACAGUGUAUCUUUCAUUUUGCAAGCAGAUGUGGGGCAAUCUGAAGCCCUAGUCUCCUUUCGUCUUUAGGGCUUUAAGGGUUUCUGCAUAAAAUUUAAAAUAUCCCCUAGCCCUUGUGGAAUGAAAAAAAAAACCAGCUAUAUAGGUAUUUAUAGCUGAAUCACUUUGCUGUAUACACUGUAAAUCAAUUAUGUUUCAAUGAAAAAAAUAAGUAAAUAAAUAAAAAGGAGGUAUUACUUGCCACCAAUUAGGCACAGUGGUUUUAUUUACUUUUCAAUCAAAUCCAAACAGGAACGCAAAAGUCUGUCAGAAAGAGCUAAUACUGGAGGGGGAGGGGGAGAAAGGGCUGAGAUUUGGGUCUUCCGGAUGCUAUAACUGAAAUGGCGACGGUCAUACAUCAAGGAGAGAAGGGUAAACGCCAUUGUGACUUGUCCCUGAAAAGGAAUUGCUUUCUCAUUGCCAAGGAUUUUUGAAU
RNAcentral lists this long non-coding RNA (3602 nucleotides) under Sus scrofa (pig). RNAcentral's name for it is "lncRNA (ENSSSCG00050043189.1)". The record is from RNAcentral. Lineage: Eukaryota; Metazoa; Chordata; Mammalia; Artiodactyla; Suidae.